UGAGGAAUAUUGGUCAAUGGGCGGGGAGCCUGAACCAGCCAAGCCGCGUGAGGGAAUAAGGCCCUACGGGUCGUAAACCUCUUUUGUCGGGGAACAAAAGCGGGGACGCGUCCCCGUCUGCGUGUACCCGAAGAAAAAGCAUCGGCUAACUCCGUGCCAGCAGCCGCG
RNAcentral lists this ribosomal RNA (168 nucleotides) under uncultured bacterium. Its description in RNAcentral is "partial 16S ribosomal RNA". It matches the Rfam family "Bacterial small subunit ribosomal RNA", at positions 355 to 519 of the family's 1533-position model. The record is from RNAcentral.